RNAcentral lists this ribosomal RNA (492 nucleotides) under uncultured bacterium. RNAcentral's name for it is "partial 16S ribosomal RNA". It matches the Rfam family "Bacterial small subunit ribosomal RNA", at positions 29 to 507 of the family's 1533-position model. The record is from RNAcentral.
AGUGAACGCUGGCGGUAGGCCUAACACAUGCAAGUCGAACGGCAGCACAGUAAGAGCUUGCUCUUACGGGUGGCGAGUGGCGGACGGGUGAGGAAUACAUCGGAAUCUACUUUUUCGUGGGGGAUAACGUAGGGAAACUUACGCUAAUACCGCAUACGACCUACGGGUGAAAGCAGGGGAUCUUCGGACCUUGCGCGAUUGGAUGAGUCGAUGUCGGAUUAGCUAGUUGGCGGGGUAAAGGCCCACCAAGGCGACGAUCCGUAGCUGGUCUGAGAGGAUGAUCAGCCACACUGGAACUGAGACACGGUCCAGACUCCUACGGGAGGCAGCAGUGGGGAAUAUUGGACAAUGGGCGCAAGCCUGAUCCAGCCAUACCGCGUGGGUGAAGAAGGCCUUCGGGUUGUAAAGCCCUUUUGUUGGGAAAGAAAAGCAGCAGGUUAAUACCCCGCUGUUCUGACGGUACCCAAAGAAUAAGCACCGGCUAACUUCGUG